CUAAGAGACGAGUCAUCCUGUUUGCUUUUGUUGUGUUCAAUUUUUAGCCUCUAUUUUUCAUAAAUAAUCCUGCAGUGAGCCAUGAUCACGCCACUGCACUCCAGCCUGGGUGGCAGAGUGAGACUCUGUCUCGGAAACCAACAAAUAAAAAGAACUUAUGAAGUGCCAUGGAACAGGCAUUCUUCCAUUGGGUCAAUGCUAGCCCGCAUAUUUCAACACAUCUGAAGAGGGGAUAAAUCUUAUGAAUGACAUUUAUUUUUAAUGACAUACA
RNAcentral lists this long non-coding RNA (271 nucleotides) under Pan troglodytes (chimpanzee). Its description in RNAcentral is "long non-coding RNA NONPTRT003733". The record is from RNAcentral. Lineage: Eukaryota; Metazoa; Chordata; Mammalia; Primates; Hominidae.